GGGUGGAUGAGGAGAGAAUCCUAAGGCCGGCGGAAGAAGCAUUGUUAAGGAACUCGGCAAAAUGACCCCGUAACUUCGGGAGAAGGGGUGCCUGCUAACGCAGGCCGCAGAGAAUAGGCUCAAGCAACUGUUUAGCAAAAACACAGGUCUAUGCGAAACCGAAAGGUGAAGUAUAUGGGCUGACGCCUGCCCGGUGCUGAAGGUUAAGAGGAGAGGUUAGCGUAAGCGAAGCUUUGAAUUUAAGCCCCAGUAAACGGCGGCCGUAACUAUAACGGUCCUAAGGUAGCGAAAUUCCUUGUCGGGUAAGUUCCGACCCGCACGAAAGGCGUAAUGAUUUGAGCACUGUCUCGACAAUGCAUCCGGUGAAAUUGAAGUACCAGUGAAGAUGCUGGUUACCCGCGCCAGGACGGAAAGACCCCAUGGAGCUUUACUCCAGUUUGGUACUGGGAUUCGGUACUGCAUGUACAGGAUAGGUGGGAGACUAAGAACUUGGGACGCCAGUUUCAAGGGAGUCGCUGUUGGGAUACCACCCUUGCAGUAUUGGAUUUCUAACCAGCCGCCGUGAUCCGGCGGUGGGACAAUGCCAGGCGGGGAGUUUGACUGGGGCGGUCGCCUCCGAAAGGGUAUCGGAGGCGCUCAAAGGUUCCCUCAGAAUGGUUGGAAACCAUUUGAAGAGUGCAAAGGCAGAAGGGAGCUUGACUGCGACACCGACGGGUGGAGCAGGUAGGAAACUAGGACUUAGUGAUCCGGUGGCAUAAAGUGGGAUUGCCAUCGCUCAACGGAUAAAGGCUACCCUGGGGAUAACAGGCUUAUCACUCCCAAGAGUUCACAUCGACGGAGUGGUUUGGCACCUCGAUGUCGGCUCAUCGCAUCCUGGGGCUGUAGCAGGUCCCAAGGGUUGGGCUGUUCGCCCAUUAAAGCGGUACGCGAGCUGGGUUCAGAACGUCGUGAGACAGUUCGGUCCCUAUCCGGCGCGGGCGGAGGAUAUUUGAGAGGAGCUGUCCUUAGUACGAGAGGACCGGGAUGGACGGACCACUGGUGUAUCUGCUGUCGACCAACGGCAUGGCAGAGUAGCCAAGUCCGGAAGGGAUAAACGCUGAAGGCAUCUAAGCGUGAAGCCCCCCUCAAGAUGAGAUAUCCCUCACAUAAGUGAGUAAGAUCCCUUGAAGACUACAAGGUAGAUAGGGCAGAGGUGGAAGCACGGUAACGUGUGGAGCUGACUGUUACUAAUCGAUCGAGGGCUUGAGC
Molecule: ribosomal RNA, 1248 nt
Filed under: metagenome
Description: bacterial LSU rRNA
Rfam family: Bacterial large subunit ribosomal RNA
Source: RNAcentral